GGGAUUAUAGUAUAGUGGUCAGUACCUCUCGUUGUGGAACUUGUUCUUACAUUACCGAGAAAACGCAAGUUCGAUUCUUGCUAAUCCCA
This is a non-coding RNA of Podospora conica, 89 nucleotides long. NCBI's taxonomy places the organism in Eukaryota, Fungi, Ascomycota, Sordariomycetes, Sordariales, Podosporaceae. The record is from the annotation of a GenBank genome assembly.